CGGCUGGAAACGCGCGCUCUGCCACAAAGGUUCCGCCGCCCUACUGCCCGCCUUUACCGAGCGCCCUGCCGGGGGGAGGGGGAAACGGAGGGCGGGAAGCACAGAAACCCGCCCCCUGCCCCCCUCCCAGCCCCGACAGCCCCCACAGGAACCGUCCGGUCGCGGUGACAUGAUCGGUUUAUAAGCUGGGGUCAGGCGCGGCCGCUGGUGGCUGCCCUGACCGGCUUCGCUCAGCGGGUAGAGGGUCAGAAUGCAGACUGAAGAGUCGCGGGUUCGAUUCCAGCCAAGGGCACAUGCCCAGGUUGCAGGCUCCAUCCCCAGUGUGGGGCUGUGCAGGAGGCAGCCCAUCCAUGGUUUUCUCUCAUCAUUGAUGUUUCUCCCUCCCUUCCUCUCUGAAAUCAAUAAGAAUAUAUUAUACAAAUAAAUAAAAGGCUGCACGUGG
This is a long non-coding RNA of Eptesicus fuscus (big brown bat), 442 nucleotides long. RefSeq lists it as uncharacterized. The transcript has 2 exons. The record is from RefSeq and is a predicted model, not a curated record. Lineage: Eukaryota; Metazoa; Chordata; Mammalia; Chiroptera; Vespertilionidae.